GAUGAACGCUGGCGGCGUGCUUAACACAUGCAAGUCGAACGAUGAAGCCCAGCUUGCUGGGUGGAUUAGUGGCGAACGGGUGAGUAACACGUGAGUAACCUGCCCUUAACUCUGGGAUAAGCCUGGGAAACGGGGUCUAAUACCGGAUAGGAGCGUCCACCGCAUGGGGGGUGUUGGAAAGAUUUAUCGGUUUUGGAUGGACUCGCGGCCUAUCAGCUUGUUGGUGAGGUAAUGGCUCACCAAGGCGACGACGGGUAGCCGGCCUGAGAGGGUGACCGGCCACACUGGGCCUGAGACACGGCCCAGACUCCUACGGGAGGCAGCAGUGGGGAAUAUUGCACAAUGGGCGCAAGCCUGAUGCAGCGACGCCGCGUGAGGGAUGACGGCCUUCGGGUUGUAAACCUCUUUCAGUAGGGAAGAAGCGAUAGUGACGGUACCUGCAGAAGAAGCACCGGCUAACUACGUG
RNAcentral lists this ribosomal RNA (466 nucleotides) under uncultured bacterium. RNAcentral describes it as "partial 16S ribosomal RNA". It matches the Rfam family "Bacterial small subunit ribosomal RNA", at positions 28 to 507 of the family's 1533-position model. The record is from RNAcentral.